RNAcentral lists this long non-coding RNA (3921 nucleotides) under Homo sapiens (human). RNAcentral's name for it is "HSALNT0070313". The record is from RNAcentral. Lineage: Eukaryota; Metazoa; Chordata; Mammalia; Primates; Hominidae.
CCUACCUCAUGAUCCACCCACCUCAGCUUCCCAAAGUGCUGGGAUUACAGGCAUGAGCCACUGCUCCCAGCCUGGCUGAGAAGCAAUUCUAAGCCACCACACAGAGUUGCAAAACCAUAAAACAAUUAGCAAUAACUCUGCCAUCAAACAGUUAAUUACCAGGGAGUGUAAAUAUGUGCUCAAGGCUCCAACUUACAGACUAAUAGGAGUUUUGAAGCUUGCCGUUUUUUGAAGGCUUAUACAAAAUAGUUUCCUGCAAACUCAAGUGGCUGGGAAGCCCAGCUGAAGGUUACUUCUACCCCAAGGCCAUGUCAGCAGAAAGUGGCCAACAGGACUUGGGCCUGAAAAAGCUCAGACUGAAUUUUAGGAGUGACAUCUGAAACUGCUGGUUUCUCACAAGGAAUAAAAGCUGUCUGGGAAGCUGGAGAGGCAGUGUGCUGUCUGGAGCAGGGACUUGCAAAUGGGAACAGUGAAGAGAGACAGCAUCUCCUUCCUCUGAAGAUUCUGUUCAGAAUGGAUAAAGGUUCAGCAUCCUCCCUGGAUGGGGCAGCUUAGCAGGCAAGAAAGAAGUCAACUGAGUUUCUUCUAGAGAAAUUAUAGAAAGAAAGAAAAAGAAAGAAAGAAAGAAAGAAAGAAAGAAAGAAAGAAAGAAAGAAAGAAAGAGGAAGGAAGGAAAGAAAGAAAGAAGAAAGAAAAAGAAAGAAAGAAAGAAAGAAAGAAAGAAAGAAAGAAAGAAAGAAAGAAAGAAAGAAAGAAAGAAAGAAAGAAAGGGAAAGAAAGAAAAGUUGACUGAGACAUGGCCCAUUCCCUCCCUGGGACCAGCCUCUUCUUUCCAGCUCAAGGGUCAAGACAGUGUCCCCAGGAAGAAGCAAAGGCUGUGUUUUCCACACUCUUAUCUAGAGGUGAGCUGGCAGAAGCUCCUCCCAGACUGCAUCUAUCAGACAGGGAGACAAUAACUGCUUGGGUGAGGAACAAAGGGAGGAGACACCAACUGUCCCCACUAAUGACAGAAGAUGUGGCAGCCUGAAGCCCUAAUAUUGGCUGUGGCCCUUUAAGAUCCCUCCCCACUUAACUGUAACACCCCCCUUCUCCAGGAAACUGGCAAGGACCCUUGGCACUGUUGGCCAGCGCUCUUGGAGACAGCCAGGACGGGGUUGGCAGGACUGCCUACACUGCUUUGAAAAUAUUUAACAAUAGGUAACUUUGGCAUUUCGAGAAGGUCUUGGAUCACAGGAGUUGUGGAGGCCCUGGGAGAUGUAGAAAAGACAUAGUGAAAGCUUUUGUUUUGCCCGGAAGGAAAACAUGUGGAUGUCUCAGUCAGCUCAGACUUCUAUUUGGCUGAUGGGGAAGUCAGGGAGAGCUUGAGUGUUCACAGAAUGCCACCUCUACCUUGUAGCUGCCACGCGGAAUCGUUCAAUCUCUCAUCUGACAUCACCUUCACAGAUUCAGUUUCAUUCGCAAGGAAGACACUGACCAAAAAAAAAAAAAAAAAAAAAAAAAACAGAAGUAACUUUCCUUUAAAGGGCUCCAAACCUCCUGCUACCAAAAACUAGAAUUCUUGGUCUCUCUGGUUUACUGUCCCCCCAACCCAAGUUUGUCCCCCCCUCCCAGACAUCCACAUGCUUUCCUUGAGGUCAGGAGUGAUCCUCCCACCUCAGCCCCCUGAGUAGCUGGGACUACAGGCGAUGCCACCAUGCCUGACUAAUUUUUAAAAAUUUUUUAUAGAGAUGGGGUUUCAUCAUAUAGCCCAGGCUGGUCUUGAACUCCUGAGCUCAAGUGACCUGCCUACUUCUGACUCCCAAAGGCUUGAGAUUACAGGCGUGAGCCACCACACAUGGCCUAGUUUUAUUAUUUAAUUUUUUUUUUAAGAAUAGGGAUUUGCUGUGUUGCCCAACCUGGUCUCUAAUUCCUGGCUUCAAGUGAUUUUUCUGCCUUGGCCUUCCAAAGUGCUAGGAUUAUAAGCAUGAGCCACCACACCUGGCCCCAGUUAAAUUUGAAUUUCACAUACACAGGAAAUGAUAUUUUAUUUUAUUUUAUUUUUAAUUUGUUUUAUUUUGAGACAGUCUCACUCUAUCACCCAAGCUGGAGUGCAAUGGUGCAGUCUCGGCUCACUGACUGCAACCUCCGCCUCCUGGGUUCAAGCAAUUCACCUGCCUCAGUCUCCAGAGUACCUGGGACUACAGGCAUGCUCCAACAACCCCGGCUAAUUUUUGUAUUUUUUGUAGAGACAGGGUUUUACCACGUUGGCCAGGCUGGUCUUGAAUUCCUGACCUCAAGUGAUCCACCCACCUCAGUCUGCCAAAGUGCUGGGAGUACAGGUGUGAGCUACCGCUCCCAGCCAAGGAAUGAUAGUUUAGUGUAAAUAUGUACAUCCAUUCAAGGGAAUAAAAGUCAAGUUAGCAAAGAUGAGUCAUAAAAUAAUGUUAUUACAGUUUUGUGAUCGCUCAGGAAACAAGUAAUAUAAGCAUAAAACAUUAUGAAUUUACUAUACUAUUAUUAUUUUAUUUUUAUUGAUAUUAAUUGAAUCUUAGUAGACUAAAAUGAUACAGGUAUUAACCAAAGACAUGAACAAACAUAGAGUGUGAGAUGUUAGAGACCGCAACACACAUAGGUUAUGUUGCAGUGCAGCACUAAGAAUGAAUGUCUGUGUGUAGUAUAUAUUAAUUCUUUUCCCCAUAUGAUUUUCUAGAGCUGGAGGGAUUAAAAAUAGGUCUAUGAGGCCGGGCAUGGUGGCUCACGCCUGUAAUCCCAGCACUUUGGGAGCCCAAGGCGGGGAGAUCACUUGAGGUCAGGAGUUCGAGACCAGCCUGGCUAACAUGGUGAAACCCCAUCUCUAUUAACAAUACAAAAAAUUAGCAGGAUGUGGUGGCACCAGCCUGUAGUCCCAGCUACUCAGGAGGCUGAGGCAGGAGAAUCAUUUAAACCUGGGAGACGGAGGUUGCAAUGAGCUAAGAUUGCACCACUGCACUCCAGCCUGGGCAACAGAGCGAGACUCCAUCUCAAAAAGAAAAAAAAAAAAUUUGCCUUUUCUCUCUGAGCACUUUCAGAAUUUUCUUUUUCAACAACAACAACAACAAAAAUAGCAUACCAAGGAUAGGAAUAAUUGAAGAAAUGUGCAAGAUGUAUGCAAAGAACAUUGUAAAAUCUUACCGAAGUUCACCAAAGACUUGAACUUGUAUUUUCUCUCAAUCCUCAUCACAGUGCUUCAAGGUGGAUAUCAUUUUAUCUUUCUGCACUCAGAAAGAUUAAAUAAAUUGCUCAAGUCCACAGAGCAGCAAAGCUGCAAUUUAAACCAGAUUCUCACAUUUGUGCUCCGUAUGGUAACUCCUGCUAGCCCCAAGGAACUGAUAUAAGUUAAUGAAGUAACCAAAUGUGACUUUAUUACUUUAUUACUUUAUUAUUUACUUAAUUAUUAUUACUUUAUGUCAAGAUUAUUCCUACACGCACAUGCUGGCUCACAAAUUAUAGGUUUCUCCUUGGUUGUAAAAAUCGCAUGAGUCAUAUUUGUGGCAAGAAUCAUGUAACAGUGCAAGGAAAUUUUGAGAUUUUUGGAGUAGAUGUUCCUCAGAUUCUGAAAUGCUCAGGUGAGAUAAGGAUGUGCCUCCGGGCCCUUGCACUUGCUGUUCCCUCUAUCUGGAAAGCACUUCCCCAGAUACUGGCAUAACUACCUUCCUCAUUUCUUCAAAUCUUUGCUUAGAUAUUGCCAUCACAAAGAGUUCUUUCCUGGCCACCCUACUUAUAAUUACAACCUCUUCUGGCUUUAUUUUUUCUCACAGUACUUAUCACUAUCUAGUGUAUGUAUAAUUUACAUUUUUAUUUUGUUUACUGUCUCCUCCUCAUCCUCUACCCACCCCUCUGCCCCCCAAAAAAAUGUUAGCUCCAGGAUAGAAGCAGAAUUUUGUCUUUUUGUUUUGCCAUCAG